GAUGAACGCUGGCGGCGUGCCUAAUACAUGCAAGUCGAGCGAACAGACGAGGAGCUUGCUCCUCUGACGUUAGCGGCGGACGGGUGAGUAACACGUGGAUAACCUACCUAUAAGACUGGGAUAACUUCGGAAAACCGGAGCUAAUACCGGAUAAUAUAUUGAACCGCAUGGUUCAAUAGUGAAAGACGGUUUUGCUGUCACUUAUAGAUGGAUCCGCGCCGCAUUAGCUAGUUGGUAAGGUAACGGCUUACCAAGGCAACGAUGCGUAGCCGACCUGAGAGGGUGAUCGGCCACACUGGAACUGAGACACGGUCCAGACUCCUACGGGAGGCAGCAGUAGGGAAUCUUCCGCAAUGGGCGAAAGCCUGACGGGGCAACGCCGCGUGAGUGAUGAAGGUCUUCGGAUCGUAAAACUCUGUUAUUAGGGAAGAACAAAUGUGUAAGUAACUAUGCACGUCUUGACGGUACCUAAUCAGAAAGCCACGGCUAACUACGUG
RNAcentral lists this ribosomal RNA (497 nucleotides) under uncultured bacterium. Its description in RNAcentral is "partial 16S ribosomal RNA". It matches the Rfam family "Bacterial small subunit ribosomal RNA", at positions 28 to 507 of the family's 1533-position model. The record is from RNAcentral.